GGACCCGCACAAGCGGUGGAGCAUGUGGUUUAAUUCGAUGCAACGCGAAAAAACCUUACCUACUCUUGACAUACUUGGAAGCUCUUGUAAUGAGAGUGUGCCUUUUGGAGCCAAGAUACAGGUGCUGCAUGGCUGUCGUCAGCUCGUGUCGUGAGAUGUUCCGUUAAGUCGGAUAACGAGCGCAACCCUUACCCUUAUUUGCCAGCGAUUCGGUCGGGAACUAUAAGGGGACUGCCGGUGAUAAACCGGAGGAAGGUGAGGACGACGUCAAGUCAUCAUGGCCCUUACGAGUAGGGCUACACACGUGCUACAAUGGGGAAUACAGACGGACGCUAAGCCGCGAGGUG
Molecule: ribosomal RNA, 347 nt
Filed under: uncultured bacterium
Lineage: Bacteria
Description: bacterial SSU rRNA
Rfam family: Bacterial small subunit ribosomal RNA
Source: RNAcentral